This 87-nucleotide transfer RNA is filed under the name Acidobacteriota bacterium. RNAcentral describes it as "Acidobacteria bacterium tRNA-Leu". It matches the Rfam family "tRNA". Rfam says of the family: Transfer RNA (tRNA) molecules are approximately 80 nucleotides in length. Their secondary structure includes four short double-helical elements and three loops (D, anti-codon, and T loops). Further hydrogen bonds mediate the characteristic L-shaped molecular structure. tRNAs have two regions of fundamental functional importance: the anti-codon, which is responsible for specific mRNA codon recognition, and the 3' end, to which the tRNAs corresponding amino acid is attached (by aminoacyl-tRNA synthetases). tRNAs cope with the degeneracy of the genetic code in two manners: having more than one tRNA (with a specific anti-codon) for a particular amino acid; and 'wobble' base-pairing, i.e. permitting non-standard base-pairing at the 3rd anti-codon position. RNAcentral also lists the same sequence under 1 other name. The record is from RNAcentral. Lineage: Bacteria; Pseudomonadati; Acidobacteriota.
GCCCAAGUGGUGGAAUUGGUAGACACGCCAUCUUGAGGGGGUGGUGGGGUACUCCCCGUGCCGGUUCGAGUCCGGCCUUGGGCACCA